RNAcentral lists this ribosomal RNA (622 nucleotides) under Alcaligenes sp. Ri2Ps_4873. Its description in RNAcentral is "bacterial SSU rRNA". It matches the Rfam family "Bacterial small subunit ribosomal RNA", at positions 391 to 1006 of the family's 1533-position model. Lineage: Bacteria; Pseudomonadati; Pseudomonadota; Betaproteobacteria; Burkholderiales; Alcaligenaceae. The record is from RNAcentral.
GCCAUCCCGCGUGUAUGAUGAAGGCCUUCGGGUUGUAAAGUACUUUUGGCAGAGAAGAAAAGGUAUCCCCUAAUACGGGAUACUGCUGACGGUAUCUGCAGAAUAAGCACCGGCUAACUACGUGCCAGCAGCCGCGGUAAUACGUAGGGUGCAAGCGUUAAUCGGAAUUACUGGGCGUAAAGCGUGUGUAGGCGGUUCGGAAAGAAAGAUGUGAAAUCCCAGGGCUCAACCUUGGAACUGCAUUUUUAACUGCCGAGCUAGAGUAUGUCAGAGGGGGGUAGAAUUCCACGUGUAGCAGUGAAAUGCGUAGAUAUGUGGAGGAAUACCGAUGGCGAAGGCAGCCCCCUGGGAUAAUACUGACGCUCAGACACGAAAGCGUGGGGAGCAAACAGGAUUAGAUACCCUGGUAGUCCACGCCCUAAACGAUGUCAACUAGCUGUUGGGGCCGUUAGGCCUUAGUAGCGCAGCUAACGCGUGAAGUUGACCGCCUGGGGAGUACGGUCGCAAGAUUAAAACUCAAAGGAAUUGACGGGGACCCGCACAAGCGGUGGAUGAUGUGGAUUAAUUCGAUGCAACGCGAAAAACCUUACCUACCCUUGACAUGUCUGGAAAGCCGAAGAGA